UUGCUUUGGCAGUACACAUACUAAAACUGGAACACUACAGGGAAGAUUAGCAUGACCCUGAAUAAUAAUGAAUAUGUGAAACAUUAAAAAAAAAGAUAUUGAA
Small nuclear RNA from Ochotona curzoniae (black-lipped pika), 103 nucleotides. The record is from RefSeq and is a predicted model, not a curated record. Lineage: Eukaryota; Metazoa; Chordata; Mammalia; Lagomorpha; Ochotonidae.